UGGGCAUUGACAUCCGGGAGAAGGGCUUCAACAGCUACGCCCAGCGCUCGGAGUAAAUGCGCGCGUGCUUUUGCUUAGAGGACAUGCGCUCAGUGGAGGUGAUGGGCAUGGUGAGCCUUACCGCGACGCAGGCCCAGCGCUCGGAGUAGGCGCACGGUUCAAGGUGGCGGUGGACGUGUGAUGGGCGUGACGGUUGUCUGGAGCAAGCGGCAACGGACACGUGGGUGCAAUGCGGUUUGUUCAGGUCAGGCGGUGUGUGCCUGUUUGGUCGAGACCGGGACGGGUGGCGGGAGGUGAUGCUGCGAGGGGCUGAGGUCGGCGGCCGCCGGCUGCAACGGUCGGUGGUUGCGGGUAGAUGCCAGCGAUGGGGCGGCUCAAAUCGGAGGGCCGUGUGCAUGACCGUGUGCGCGUGCGCCGGUGAUGGGUUGCGGCUUUCGACGGAGGAAGGGGUGAGGGGCGGUGCGCGACCCCGGGAAUGUACUUGUAGCUUUAUGGCACUAAGAAGGCGCGCGCGCAUGUGUGUGGACAUGUUUGUGGGGUGCACUCCCACCGCGGCGGCGCCUUUGUUGACGGUGAUGGCAGUGCAACUGGACGGGUCACGUGGGCAAGGAGCAGGGUGCGUUUCCUUAAACUCCUGCCUCGGUUGAGGAGGAGAAGAGCGAUGG
This 665-nucleotide long non-coding RNA is filed under the name Chlamydomonas reinhardtii. Its description in RNAcentral is "long non-coding RNA (CREI_LNC001216)". Lineage: Eukaryota; Viridiplantae; Chlorophyta; Chlorophyceae; Chlamydomonadales; Chlamydomonadaceae. The record is from RNAcentral.